GGAGAGGAGAGGAGAGGAGAGAAGAGAAGAGAAGAGAAGAGAAGAGAAAAGAGAAGAGAAGAGAAGAGAAGAGAAGAGAAGAGAAGAGACGAGAAGAUCAAACCAAGAUGUGAAGCUCUGUGGUCAGUGAGCUCUGAGAAAGAACAACAAUCAUCACUGCUUUCCAUAGCCAGUGUGUGGCGGGCACCACACCUCCACAGGGAAGACGGGAGACCUGAGGUGGCCUUGUCAGAGUCCCUCACAGGGCCCCCUGCCCCGACUAUGGACACAGGAAAUGGUUCCAAGAGCAGAGAAGUGUAGCCCUUGUGGGCUCAGUGUCCAAGACUAUACAAAAACUCGGGUCUGGAUGAGAAAGGCCAGUUCAAAACCUGUGUGCUAUGUGCUUCUUUUAAAAUUAGUGACAGAACUCAAACGUGCUGAAAGAGAGCCACAGAGCAGCGCAGUUACUCCUGUAAGAGAAAGGAACCCUGGUGAUGCUCACUCAGAAACUGCCAUGACACACCUUGUUCACAUUGCAGUCAAGCAGCAAUAUUAACCACAGUUAACAGUGGCCAGCGGUGACCACAGCAAGGGCUAGAGGCAAGAAGACCUUUGUUUUCUUUCUCCUGGCGCUGCAGCUAGUGGUCCCCCAAAAGCCCUUCCUUUGUGAUCUUUGUAGUAAAUAAGACUAUAAACCAGCGUCCGAGCUGAUUGAAGGUGGGUUUAAAGGGCAAGAGAAAAUGGUGGUUGUUUAAUGAUUAAACAGACACUUAUUACUGAACAUUUCGGUCGCUAUCUUUUAAAGUUUUAAGUCACUGCCCGUACGGAACGUGCCAACUGUGGGCAGAUGGGAAAAAAAGAAAGAAGGGAAAGAACCCGUUCACCUUGUGGCACACACGGAGGUAAACGGGUGCUGCCGCCUUAAAUCUCAAGGGUGAGCCCCGCUCUCCCGAGCCUCGAGCCUCGGAGGAGCCCUCCACUUCUCUCCCUACCUCCCAGGAAUUGAUUCUACAAAGUUAAACACGCAAUUUGUAAAGCUAUUGAGAAGUAAACUUGUCCGCAGUAACUGGAGGAGUUGCCAAAGGCUGAUAAAUCUUCAACCCAGAGGAGGAAACCCCAUGCUGCUCGGAAAACAAACGGCGCCCUGGCUGCAGGCCGCCCCUGUGGCUGCAAGCAGCCCUGUUGUUCCCCUUUGCUUGGGAAUUCUAGGGGCGAAAAUUCACACUUAAAAAAUUCAGCACUUCCUUAAUAAACAGCGUGAUUUAGUGGAGAUGCUGAUGGUCCUGGGUUAGCAUCCCUGAGAACGGAGAAAUUAUUUUGGGCUGAGCAAGUGCUUAAUGAGAAUAGAGGCUGUGUUGCUCAGAGUUGAUCAUAUAUUAUCCUCUGUAAUUUCUUCCCAAAAUAGACUUAAUGGAAAGAGGAUGCAUAAUAUCCCCCUUCUCUAAGGAAGCGCCUCCCCACCCCCCACCCCCACCCCCUACAACAGUCUUUCUAAAAACAGCUUUAUGGGCCUUCAGUCAAUAAUAGCUCUGUUUCAGCCCCUCUCACAUCUUACUUCCGCCAUGCAGGAACUCAUGUGGCGACAGACACAUUCACCUCCAGGUGGCACAGAGCUGAAAACGCCCAGGGUCUGCAGCUCAUGGCCUCCUGCAAAAAUCUACCGGAUGCCACAUGCCUCGAUCUUCACCUGAGCACUUUAUAGUGGUUUGCAUUUAACUUCUCUUCACUCCACAAGGAUAAAGAGUGAAGAACUGUGUGCCAGCCUAGGAUUGAUCUCCUUUCAGGGAGCAAUCGCUAAAUGCCCCUACUGGGUCUGAUGCUCAGACCCAAAAGGCAGAUAAGAACAUAGGCACAGAGUGGGAACUCUGGCGUCCAGACUGCUUCAACUCAGUCUCAGCCACGCAGGUGAGAUUGGGGUCGGGUGACUUUCCCAAGGACUUGGAAAUGAACUGUUCUAGGGGGUCCUGUGUGUGUUUCCCUCAGUGUAGUUCCGAAACCACCAGUAGGGCAUUUUCUCCAGCUGCUCAGAUCUAACAGCAUCCUGAAGGCGGAUCCAGUCCCGGUGAUGAGUUGUGAUGACUUGUGUAGGAAUGUUUUGCAACUUUGUAGACACAUUCUAAGUACAAGGUAUAACCUGCUGGUAGUUAGACUCCAAAGCAAGGUGGCAAAGGCUAUCACUUAGAACACACCGCUGCGUUUAUAUCAGAAACUGCAGGAAAAUGUACCUUUGAGCAGUAACAUAAUUAAUUAAAAGAGUUAGAAGUUUUUUUC
RNAcentral lists this long non-coding RNA (2250 nucleotides) under Mus musculus (house mouse). RNAcentral's name for it is "RIKEN cDNA 9230105E05 gene (9230105E05Rik)". Lineage: Eukaryota; Metazoa; Chordata; Mammalia; Rodentia; Muridae. The record is from RNAcentral.